GGAAUGUUAGCUCAGUUGGUUCAGAGCACUACCUUGACAGGGUAGGGGUCAGGGGUUCGAGUCCCUUACAUUUCA
This 75-nucleotide transfer RNA is filed under the name Siphonobacter sp. BAB-5385. It matches the Rfam family "tRNA". From Rfam's summary of the family: Transfer RNA (tRNA) molecules are approximately 80 nucleotides in length. Their secondary structure includes four short double-helical elements and three loops (D, anti-codon, and T loops). Further hydrogen bonds mediate the characteristic L-shaped molecular structure. tRNAs have two regions of fundamental functional importance: the anti-codon, which is responsible for specific mRNA codon recognition, and the 3' end, to which the tRNAs corresponding amino acid is attached (by aminoacyl-tRNA synthetases). tRNAs cope with the degeneracy of the genetic code in two manners: having more than one tRNA (with a specific anti-codon) for a particular amino acid; and 'wobble' base-pairing, i.e. permitting non-standard base-pairing at the 3rd anti-codon position. Lineage: Bacteria; Pseudomonadati; Bacteroidota; Cytophagia; Cytophagales; Cytophagaceae. RNAcentral also lists the same sequence under 2 other names. The record is from Rfam by way of RNAcentral.